GAGUUUGAUCCUGGCUCAGGAUGAACGCUGGCGGCGUGCUUAACACAUGCAAGUCGAACGAAGCACUCAGGAGCGAUUUCGGUCAAUCCUGUUUGACUGAGUGGCGGACGGGUGAGUAACGCGUGAGUAACCUACCUCGCAGUGGGGAAUAACAGUUGGAAACGACUGCUAAUACCGCAUAAUGCAGAGAGACCGCAUGAUCUUUCUGCCAAAGAUUUAUCGCUGUGAGAUGGACUCGCGUCUGAUUAGCUAGUUGGUGAGGUAACGGCUCACCAAGGCGACGAUCAGUAGCCGGACUGAGAAGUUGACCGGCCACAUUGGGACUGGAGACACGGCCCAGACUCC
This 345-nucleotide ribosomal RNA is filed under the name bacterium enrichment culture clone ALO1_GLFRUDD03FZSE1. RNAcentral's name for it is "bacterial SSU rRNA". It matches the Rfam family "Bacterial small subunit ribosomal RNA", at positions 9 to 339 of the family's 1533-position model. The record is from RNAcentral.